GAGACUCUGUGCGCGUGCAUAUCAAUAAGCGGAGGAAAAGAAACUAACAAGGAUUCCCUUAGUAACGGCGAGUGGAGCGGGAAGAGCUCGAAUUUGAAAUCUUCAAGGUUCUACCUUGACGAAUUGUAGUUUAUAGAAGUGUUUUCUGUUAGUGGAGUGGCAAAAGUUCUUUGGAAUAGGACAUCAUAGAGGGUGAGAAUCCCGUAUUUGGUCAUUCUUUCUAGCUUUGUGAUACACUUUCAACGAGUCGGAUUGUUUGGGAAUGCAUUCCAAAAUGGGUGGUAAAUUUCAUCUAAAGCUAAAUAUUGGCGAGAGACCGAUAGCAAACAAGUACCGUGAGGGAAAGACGAAAAGAACUUUGAAAAGAGAGUUAAACAGUACGUGAAAUUGUCAAAAGGGAAGCGCUUGACACCAGUGUUGUUUUUCCGAAAAUCAAUUACGAAUGUUUUGUUUUUGAGGAGUUAUGACUUCAUCGGCUUGCUCCUUUCUUUAUGAAACUUUCUUAAUGCACUUUUCGGUUAACAAGUCAACAUCAAUUUCUUUUGUUGUAAAAGGGUAUGAGGAAGGUGGCUUUCUUUUCGGAGAAAGUGUUUAUAGCCUUGUGCCUCUGCAAUCGGAGAGAUUGAGGUCUGCAGCGUAGAUCCUUCGGGGUUAGAUACGUUCGUGCUAAGUUAUAGCUUUUCAUAGACAACUUGUUGACUAUGUUUAGUCUUGUAGCUUACUCGCUGACGCUAUUUUACCUACGCUUAGGAUGUUGACAGCAGUAUAGACUGU
This 774-nucleotide ribosomal RNA is filed under the name uncultured Neocallimastigales. RNAcentral's name for it is "partial large subunit ribosomal RNA". It matches the Rfam family "Eukaryotic large subunit ribosomal RNA", at positions 23 to 640 of the family's 3401-position model. Lineage: Eukaryota; Fungi; Neocallimastigomycota; Neocallimastigomycetes; Neocallimastigales. The record is from RNAcentral.